Molecule: long non-coding RNA, 1026 nt
Filed under: Cyanistes caeruleus (blue tit)
Lineage: Eukaryota; Metazoa; Chordata; Aves; Passeriformes; Paridae
Description: lncRNA (ENSCCEG00000021979.1)
Source: RNAcentral
CAGAGGUCUCCCAGGACCAGAAGGACCUCCUGGCCCCAAGGGUGACACAGGAGAUAAAGGUGCCCGUGUGAGUACUGUCUUGAGGAUAGGAAGCACAGGGCACAUGGCACAGCCCUCCCCAGACUCAUGGUGCCUGUGCUGUUGCUCCAUGCUAUGUCCUUUCAUGUCUAGGGUCCCCCUGGCCUGAGCAUCCCUGGACCAGCUGGCCCCAAAGGCGAGCAGGGCGAUCGGGUGAGUCUGGGUGCACCCUGAGGGCACCAGUUCAUGGGCCUGCUCCCUCCCCUGUCAAGGGGUCACCAAAGUUCCCAGUGACACGUGCUCUUCCUCUCCAACAAACCAGGGUAUCGUUGGCCUCACAGGCAGGAGUGGCCCAAAGGGUGACCCGGGAGAGCCAGGGGAGAAGGGGGAGCCGGGCCGAGCAGGCACCCCUGGGCAGACCGGGAUGCGAGGCAAGGAGGUAGUGUGGGACAAGGGGCUAUGGGGCACUGUGGCCCUGAGGAGAGGGGGGGCUGGCAGGGAGCAGGGGGAUGCUGGUGACUUGUACUUUUCUCUCCUGGCCGGUGCCCGCUGAUUUGUGCCGCAGGGAGAGAGAGGAGAGAAAGGUGAUGAAGGCACCCCGGGUGAAGCGGGUCUGCCUGGCAAACCUGGAGACAGGGGUCCCCGGGUGAGUGCAGGGCUGCUGGGCACCGUGGGGCAGGAGAAAGACACAUGGCCUCGAGAUGGCUCCUGCUAAUGCACAUCUUCCCUUUGCCCUCCACCCAGGGCCUUCCUGGCUACCGUGGCCCCCCUGGGGAGAAAGGUGACUUGGGGGACCCAGGACCUGAGGGCAGGAAUGGCAGCCCUGGAGCACCAGGGAGCAAGGGUGACCGUGGGGACCCAGGGCCUCCUGGACCCCCAGGACGAGCUGUAAGUUCUGCCUCUCUCUUCUCCCUGCCCAUGGGCUGGUGUCCAGCCCCGUGUGCUCCAACAGCUCCUCUCUGCCCCAUAGGUCGAUGCUGGGCUUGGAGGAGUGGGAGAAAAGGGUGA